Molecule: ribosomal RNA, 481 nt
Filed under: Hiatella arctica
Lineage: Eukaryota; Metazoa; Mollusca; Bivalvia; Adapedonta; Hiatellidae
Description: partial 16S ribosomal RNA
Rfam family: Bacterial large subunit ribosomal RNA
Source: RNAcentral
CUCUGUUAGUAAAUUUUGUGUUAAAAGUAGGGCCUGCCCAGUGCUUUAUUAAUUGAGAGUAAAUGGCGGCGUUGGCUUUAAAGUAGCAUAAUAAAUCGGCUUUUAAUUGGAGUCUGGAAAGAAUGGUUUGACGUGGUUGUAACUGUCUCCGCUGUAAUAAUUUAAAUUUUYUUCNUAGGUGAAAAGACUUNAGUUUAAGUUAAAMGACGAGAAGACCCCGAUGAGCUUARUAUAUUGUUAAAAUUUCACAGUUUMRUGGUUAUUUUUAAUUGGGGCAAUUGGGGAGUAAAGUAAACCUCCCUUARAAUAGCGAAGAUCCUUNUGAAGAAAGAUAAAAGGAAAAAGCUACCACGGGGAUAACANGCGUGAUUCCCACUUAAGAGGCCUUAUUAAAGUGGGGGUUGACGACCUCGAUGUUGGAUUAAGGUACCUCCGCSGUGCAGCAGUUGCGGUAGUGAGUCUGUUCGACUUUUGAAACCUU